AAAGCUCUGCAACCUCCGUCAAGGCCUCUUUCCACUUCCGAACUUUUUUACUAUCAUCUCCAAACCUUUCUCCAUGCUUAACAAAAGCAUGUGCGAAAGAUCCUCGCUGGUGCCUCACAUCGGUGGGGUCUACAUCGUAGAAGACGGGAAAACAUGGCGACCGAAUUGGGACCGAGAUCGGAGGAUGACGAGUAGCUCAUCCAAGCACCACCACGAAGAAGCGUAGUCGGGAGAGAGAGAUUGCUCGAUUGCAUUGAGGAGCUCUGGCGCAAUAAGUUCUCCUCUCUGAGGAUCGUAAGACACUUCCAUUUAGAUAGGAAGAAUCAAAAUUCAUAACACUUUCUUCUCUGUACAAUUAUGGAAGUAGUUGAAAAUAUCAACACUUAUGAAGAAAAUUAAUGUUAGGCCCAGACCCAGCCCACAUCACAGUGCUAGUCCCACAUCGUUAACGCAUAGCAAAACUCAAGUAUUUAUAUAACCGUUGCAAGGAACAACAGUCACGACCUUACUUGAACAGGAUCUGUUCUAUAGGAUCGUACUACUGUGUCCUUAUAUUCUAAGGAGACAGGAACCUAAAUCUGGUGGAUGAAUCAUGACCGUCGAUCAGAGCGUGAUUAACGGUUCUGUGAUGGGAGCUUUGGUGACCAUUGCAGUUGGCUGUAGAGGAUCGUUCUCAGCUUCACUUGUGAUCUGGGAUGGUCGCACGGUUGUCUGACAGAUUUCAAUCUUUUUUUUGCGUUGUCUUUUUGAUUCCGUUCGUUUUCCGGUGAAGAAACGUAACCCUAAACCCUCUCUCUGGACCGCUUCUUUCAACUGGGUCGCUUCCGUGUCCAGAACGUCGUCGUCAAAACACACGACCGUCAUAUAGAAUUUGCUUUUAGUCCAACUUAGCAUUUUCUGUUUGGGGAGUAAUUUGCGUGAGAGCAUGUUUUGGAGGAGUAGGAUCAGAAUUUCCCUGAUGAGGUCGAAACUUUCGGAGAGAGCUGGUCUGGUUUCGCUACUGGCUUUGGUCAUGUAUUGUUUCUAGAGCUACGAAAGAGACUUCAAAAUGUUGGCAUUCGCUCUAUUUUCUGUGGGGAGACAAAGAAUCUGAAGGAUUUUGGCUUAAACAGGGUUUUUCAUCAAUAGCACAAGUGGAUACCAAAGGUAGAGAGGGCUGAUAUUCGCAGAGCAUUAUGCUUUCCCGGUGGUUCAACUCUGAUGGUUUGCCCUCUAAGGAAUGAAUUGUUAGAUGACAAUGCUAACUCUGGGAAGUCUCUCCCCUCACUACCUCGUCAGAAUUCCUCUACACCUGCAAUUGUUGAAAAUGAACAGCUUGAAUUUUCUGGGGAACUACUCAUUGAUUUGAAAUCUUCCCAUAGAACAGACACAAAUCAAAGUCAACCUAAGGCUUUGGUAAAAGAUGGAUCUUCAAGCGGAUAUGGAAAACUUAGUGGUAAUUUUUUUCUGGAAUUAGAAAAAAGUAAAUAAAAUAUUCGAUUAGGACUAUUUGGGUCACAGGACUGAUGUCAUCUUCCAGUUUA
Long non-coding RNA from Cicer arietinum (chickpea), 1523 nucleotides. RefSeq lists it as uncharacterized. NCBI's taxonomy places the organism in Eukaryota, Viridiplantae, Streptophyta, Magnoliopsida, Fabales, Fabaceae. The record is from RefSeq and is a predicted model, not a curated record.